ACAGGGGCCACGGCAGUCCCUGGGGGCCGGGACACCCGCAGGGGCUCUCCCCCCGUCUCUGCCAUUUGUGUCCCUGCACAGCUGAACCCUGUGAUACAGAGAUCACGGCUUCCGCCUUAGGCUCCCACGGCCCCUUGGGCGGUUGGCGGCUCCGUGCGUGUCCGCCAGUGUCCACCUUUGUCUGCUGGACCCUGGAGGAGAUGGACACCCACGUCAGACCUCUCUCGGGUUCUCCCCACCCAACAAUCCACAAAAUACCAGAAGGUCCGGAGGAGGGGGUCACAGGCACUCAGGCUCUGCAGAGGCUCGGGGGCCGGUAGUGGGUGUAUAAACGUGCCAGACACGCUCCAUCACCACCCGUGUAUGCAAGACGAGACCGCGUCGCACGUACGGACGAGGCUUUGACUCUGCCCACACGGGCUCUUCCCGCUCGGCCAGGUGGGCGCACGGCCCACGGUCAAGAAGACGGUGCAGGAGGUGAGGCUGCAGACCCGUCACCGCAGCUUCAAACACGCCUCGGGGGGAAAAGAUCCCCAGGACAGUGACGCGGAAUCACCCCCGUCCACGACAAGCGCUUAGAAAUACGACUUCAACUUUGAAAGCAGUUUGAGGUCUGCAGAACAAGGACGAGGAAGUGCAGGGAGUGCCCACA
Molecule: long non-coding RNA, 652 nt
Organism: Physeter macrocephalus (sperm whale)
Lineage: Eukaryota; Metazoa; Chordata; Mammalia; Artiodactyla; Physeteridae
Exons: 3
Source: RefSeq, a predicted model, not a curated record